Molecule: ribosomal RNA, 321 nt
Filed under: uncultured Pseudomonadota bacterium
Lineage: Bacteria; Pseudomonadati; Pseudomonadota
Description: bacterial SSU rRNA
Rfam family: Bacterial small subunit ribosomal RNA
Source: RNAcentral
AUUGAACGCUGGCGGCGUGCUUAACACAUGCAAGUCGAUCGGUAACGCGGGGGCAACCCUGGCGACGAGAGGCGGACGGGUGAGGAACGCUUGGGAAUCUGCCUAUCAGCGGGGGACAACACGGGGAAACUCGUGCUAAUACCGCAUACGCUCUACGGAGGAAAGCCGGGGACCGCAAGGCCUGGCACUGAUGGAUGAGCCCAAGUCGGAUUAGCUAGUUGGCGGGGUAACGGCCCACCAAGGCGACGAUCCGUAGCUGGUCUGAGAGGACGAUCAGCCACACUGGGACUGAGACACGGCCCAGACUCCUACGGGAGGCAG